RNAcentral lists this transfer RNA (63 nucleotides) under Isorropodon fossajaponicum. Its description in RNAcentral is "tRNA-Lys". Lineage: Eukaryota; Metazoa; Mollusca; Bivalvia; Venerida; Vesicomyidae. The record is from RNAcentral.
AUAUAUGUAGUAUAUAUAUUGUACUAAAAUCUCUUACUUUUUUUAUAUAUAUAUAUAUAUAUU